GCGCUUGGAGGUCAUCACCGCGACAGAUGGAUCUCGAUCAUUUUUCAGAGUUUCCGCGCUCUGACCUUCGCCGUUCGUUGAUGCGAUUUUGAUCGAUCUUUGUCUGGACUUGGAGUAACCUCUGUUGGUCGACAGCAGUACCCAUUGCCCGUCCCCGUUGGCUGGAUGCGACGGUGGAUGAUCGGUGGAAUACUGAUAGUGAGAAAAAUGCGGUCUGUUGAACGAGGUCGAGGAGGGUUUCGGGAAAUUUGAAGGUUUUUUAACUUCAAGUUGAAAUGGUACCACGGGAUGUUCGAGAACCGUGAAUGGAUAUUUAUUCGAAAAAAUUCCUACAAAUUAAUUAUGACUAAAAAUAAAUUUUCCCUGCACAAAUGCAUCAAAUUAUUC
This 387-nucleotide unclassified non-coding RNA is filed under the name Athalia rosae (coleseed sawfly). RNAcentral describes it as "misc RNA ENSAEAG00005002455.1". Lineage: Eukaryota; Metazoa; Arthropoda; Insecta; Hymenoptera; Athaliidae. The record is from RNAcentral.